GCUGGUUUUCCAUUAUUGUCUGAAAGCCUAUUCGUCUAAAGCCGUGAUUAACGAAGUGUACCUGAACGCCCCAUCACGUGAACUGUGCCUGAAGAGUGCAUGCAGGGCACCUCCGUUUUGACAUGCGGGGAUGAUGAGAGCAGACACGGAGGAAAACCGUUCUUUGUUCGUGUGCGUUUUAUGAACAACAAACCACACACACAUACACGCUCAUCAACAAGCAUUCUUAUACUUAAGCAUCUAACCUGCCAAAACCAACCUGUAUCUGCUGCAAUUGAUGACCAGAAUAAUAAAGCUGAUGAAGGAUUCUCUGGCCGGAAUCUGUCCAUUGUGUUCCCAUCCCAAAGUGAACCAUUAAUCCAUAUUUUA
Molecule: long non-coding RNA, 369 nt
Organism: Melanotaenia boesemani (Boeseman's rainbowfish)
Lineage: Eukaryota; Metazoa; Chordata; Actinopteri; Atheriniformes; Melanotaeniidae
Exons: 3
Source: RefSeq, a predicted model, not a curated record